This 492-nucleotide ribosomal RNA is filed under the name uncultured bacterium. RNAcentral's name for it is "partial 16S ribosomal RNA". It matches the Rfam family "Bacterial small subunit ribosomal RNA", at positions 29 to 507 of the family's 1533-position model. The record is from RNAcentral.
AGUGAACGCUGGCGGUAGGCCUAACACAUGCAAGUCGAACGGCAGCACAGUAAGAGCUUGCUCUUACGGGUGGCGAGUGGCGGACGGGUGAGGAAUACAUCGGAAUCUACUUUUUCGUGGGGGAUAACGUAGGGAAACUUACGCUAAUACCGCAUACGACCUACGGGUGAAAGCAGGAGAUCUUCGGACCUUGCGCGAUUGAAUGAGCCGAUGUCGGAUUAGCUAGUUGGCGGGGUAAAGGCCCACCAAGGCGACGAUCCGUAGCUGGUCUGAGAGGAUGAUCAGCCACACUGGAACUGAGACACGGUCCAGACUCCUACGGGAGGCAGCAGUGGGGAAUAUUGCACAAUGGGCGCAAGCCUGAUCCAGCCAUGCCGCGUGGGUGAAGAAGGCCUUCGGGUUGUAAAGCCCUUUUGUUGGGAAAGAAAAGCAGCAGGUUAAUACCUCGCUGUUCUGACGGUACCCAAAGAAUAAGCACCGGCUAACUUCGUG